This 119-nucleotide ribosomal RNA is filed under the name Pteropus alecto (black flying fox). Lineage: Eukaryota; Metazoa; Chordata; Mammalia; Chiroptera; Pteropodidae. The record is from RNAcentral.
GUCUACAGCCAUGCCACCCUUAAUAAGCCCAAUCCUGUCUGAUCGUGGAAGCUAAGCAGAGUCAAGCCUGGUUAUUACUUGGAUGGGAGACCACCUAGGAAGACCAGGUGCUGUAGGCG